Molecule: transfer RNA, 84 nt
Filed under: Phycisphaerae bacterium RAS1
Lineage: Bacteria; Pseudomonadati; Planctomycetota; Phycisphaerae
Rfam family: tRNA
About the family: Transfer RNA (tRNA) molecules are approximately 80 nucleotides in length. Their secondary structure includes four short double-helical elements and three loops (D, anti-codon, and T loops). Further hydrogen bonds mediate the characteristic L-shaped molecular structure. tRNAs have two regions of fundamental functional importance: the anti-codon, which is responsible for specific mRNA codon recognition, and the 3' end, to which the tRNAs corresponding amino acid is attached (by aminoacyl-tRNA synthetases). tRNAs cope with the degeneracy of the genetic code in two manners: having more than one tRNA (with a specific anti-codon) for a particular amino acid; and 'wobble' base-pairing, i.e. permitting non-standard base-pairing at the 3rd anti-codon position.
Source: Rfam by way of RNAcentral
GCCGGAGUGGCGGAAUCGGCAUACGCGCGGGUUUCAAAAACCCGUGGCCGCAAGGCCAUGUGGGUUCGAGUCCCACCUUCGGCA